CCUACGGGAGGCAGCAGUGAGGAAUAUUGGUCAAUGGGCGUAAGCCUGAACCAGCCAAGUCGCGUGAGGGAUGAAGGUUCUAUGGAUCGUAAACCUCUUUUAUAAGGGAAUAAAGUGUGGGACGUGUCCUAUUUUGUAUGUACCUUAUGAAUAAGGAUCGGCUAACUCCGUGCCAGCAGCCGCGGUAAUACGGAGGAUCCGAGCGUUGUCCGGAAUUAUUGGGUUUAAAGGGUGCGUAGGGGGCCUUUUAAGUCAGCGGUGAAAGGCUGUGGCUCAACCAUAGAAUUGCAGUUGAAAAUGGGGGGCUAGAGUAUUUUUGAGGCAGGCGGAAUGCGUGGUGUAGCGGUGAAAUGCUUAGAUAUCACGCAGAACCCCGAUUGCGAAGGCAGCCUGCCAAGCCAUGACUGACGCUGAUGCACGAAGGCGUGGGGAUCAAACAGGAUUAGAUACCCGUGUAGUC
RNAcentral lists this ribosomal RNA (460 nucleotides) under uncultured bacterium. RNAcentral's name for it is "partial 16S ribosomal RNA". It matches the Rfam family "Bacterial small subunit ribosomal RNA", at positions 338 to 795 of the family's 1533-position model. The record is from RNAcentral.